This 771-nucleotide long non-coding RNA is filed under the name Salvia miltiorrhiza (redroot sage). RNAcentral's name for it is "long non-coding RNA (SMIL_LNC011780)". The record is from RNAcentral. Lineage: Eukaryota; Viridiplantae; Streptophyta; Magnoliopsida; Lamiales; Lamiaceae.
GCCGGAACCAUUCGCGAGAGGGAGAGCUCUGCUUAUGAGCAGAAUUUCAGAUUGAGGGAGAGGAGCUCCGGUGCGAGGUGUCGAUCUACACCGGAGAGAAGGCGUCGACUCUGCCGAAAAUUGCAGGGCGGCGGCGCGGAGAUUUCAGAGAUGGAAGCUAAGCCUCGAUCUUCAUCGUCUUGGAAGAGAAAUCAAUGGUGAAGUGAGAUGGAUGGAGAUGGGAGACGCCAGAUUCAGAGGCGAGGCGUGGAUCUGUUAGUGAGGAACUGAGGGAAGGAGACACUGACCUAGGCGCAGGCGCAGGCGCCGACCAGCCGGCGAAUUCCGAGAGCAAGAUGCGGCUCCGCCGGAGUUUCAGAGCCGCUGAUAAUUCGCCGGAUUUUGAGAAGUGGUGGCAGCAAAUUUAGAGCGGAGAUGAGCAGACUUUUGCGAGGGACAACAGAAACUUGCAACUGAGAAACAGAGACUAUGGGCUAAUUUGAGUUGAGCGAGUUUUGGGCUGUUCUAAUUUUCCUUGAUUGGACCAGAAUAAUGGGCCCCAACUUUACUUAUUAGUUGGGCUGUUAUUAAAUGGAGUUGGGCUGCUGCAACUUUUUUAGAAAGGCUGAACAGUGGGCUUCGCUUAAAUUGUGUAUGGGCCGAUUUUUAUGUUUAAGAUGGGCUCAUUCAGAGAGAGCUAAUUUUCAGUUGGCCUGGAGUCGAGUGGGUCGAAUUAUGAGUCCGGGCCCUAAUGUUAUUUUUUAUGGCCGAGCAUUUGGGCCUUUGUUUAAG